This 240-nucleotide ribosomal RNA is filed under the name uncultured bacterium. Its description in RNAcentral is "partial 16S ribosomal RNA". It matches the Rfam family "Bacterial small subunit ribosomal RNA", at positions 30 to 281 of the family's 1533-position model. The record is from RNAcentral.
CGAACGCUGGCGGCGUGCUUAACACAUGCAAGUCACGGGGGCCCGCAGGGGUAACCGGCGAACGGGUGCGUAACACGUGAGCAAGCUUCCGAUUUGUGGGGGAUAGCCGGCCCAACGGCCGGGUAAUACCGCACACGUUCAUCGAGCGGCAUCGCUUGGUGAGGAAACCUCCGGGGCAAAUCGAGGUGCUCGCGGCCUAUCAGCUAGUUGGUGAGGUAACGGCUCACCAAGGCGACGACG